GAUGAACGCUGGCGGCGUGCCUAAUACAUGCAAGUCGAACGAACAGACGCGGAGCUUGCUCCUCUGACGUUAGCGGCGGACGGGUGAGUAACGCGUGUAACACCUACCUAUAAGACUGGGAUCUCUUCGGGAAACCGGAUCUAAUACCGGAUAAUAUAUUGCACCGCAUGGUUGACUAGUGAAAGUCGGUGUUUCUGUCACUUCUAGCUGCAUCUGCGCCGCAUUAGCUGGUUGGUACGGUAACGGCUUAUCACGGCGACGAUGCGUAUACGAGGUAAGUGGCUGAUCGCCCACCUGGGAACUGGGCCACGGUCCAGACGCCUACGGUAGGCAGCAGUAGGGAAUCUUACGCAGUGGGCGAGAGCCUGACGGAGCAACGCGGCGUGAGUGAUGAAGGCCUUCGGAUCGUAAAACUCUGUUAUUAGGGAAGAACAACUGUGUAAGUAACUAUGCACGUCUUGACGGUACCUAAUCAGAAAGCCACGGCUAACUACGUG
This 497-nucleotide ribosomal RNA is filed under the name uncultured bacterium. RNAcentral describes it as "partial 16S ribosomal RNA". It matches the Rfam family "Bacterial small subunit ribosomal RNA", at positions 28 to 507 of the family's 1533-position model. The record is from RNAcentral.